GAAUACAGUUCUUACACAUUUCUUGUCAGAUGCAUGUCUAGGCUUUCUGUUCCUCUUGUUACUGUGACUGGAAUCUUUUUGUUCCCCUAUUGUACUUGCUACUUGCUGUGACUAGUACCUAUAUAGAAAAUUGAGUCAGUGUAAUUCAUGUGAGUGGCUGUAACAGUCUUAAAGUUUCAGUGCUUUAACACCUAGCAAUUUUAUUUCUUGCUGAUGGACAAGUUGCUGUAAGCUGGGUCACUUUCCUCUCAGUAAUGCCUUAGCACGCCGGUUCUUUCCACGGCAACCAUGCAGAGUGGAGAAUGUCUGGACUCUCUUCCUUAAGAUUGCUGCCUGCAUGCUGGCCUUCCCUUUCUGAAUGCAUCUCUUUCUUGUGAUGGUUUUCCAAGUGGAGCUUCACAGCGCACGCUACUAACCUCUGCUCUUCUCCGGAAUGACAAGAGCCUCUGGCGUGUGACCUGUGCUCCAAGAAAUAAAAGGCAAGAGUUUCACUAAAUAUUUUGCUGCAAGAUAGUGUUGAUCCAAUUUUCUAGUCUUAAAUAUCAUUUUUCUUACCUCUUGACAUCCAGCUGCUAGAAUAAUGCUAUGUGGUUUAGGUUUUAUUAUUUUUUAAAAAACCAAAUACCUUGUUUCCAGUCACUAAGUUCUUAUUAGGGUAAUUAACGUAGGCUGAUGUCACAAACAACGCACAGAUCUCAUCAUUGAAGCAAUUUCUUUCUCAUGUCAUAGGCCCCUAAUGGAUUUGCUCUGAUUUUGAAGGUGUUUUACCUUUGUCUUUUCUAGGAAAUUGGGGAAGAGCGAGGCGAAGGAGUAAUAUCUUGUUCCGUCGGCAUCGUCGAUCCAAGGCUUUCUUGUGAAUUCGUUUUUACCACAUUUGAAGUGUGAUGCCCAGAGUGGAACUCGGAGCUGCUGGCACCCGCAUCCAUCUUUGGAGGCUCUGGACAUAAUCAGUGGAGCAGGCAGAAGACCUGCAGCCCCAAGCCUGCUCGUUGCCGUCUCCCCUUCACAAGUUGAAUGCACUCAUGGACCACGGAGUGAAUCCAGCGUAUCACCCUAGUCUACACUUUGGGCACUUCACCAAAUGACCUCAGCAGAGUGGGAAAGUCUCACAUAGGUGACUUACUAUGCCCAGUAGCCUGCGUGUCUCUCCACAGAUACUGACUUCCCUGUAACUUUACUAUUUUGGGGUUAUUUAUGUUUAACAACCAAAACAUCCUGUCAAGUUUUAGUAAAUCGGGUGAGAUAUCUAAAUUAUGUUAAUAAUUUUUAACACUUUUCAUUUUGAAAUAGUUUAAAUCUUAAAAGAAGUUGCAAAAAUGGUACAGAAAGUUCCUACAUGUCAUUUCCCCAUCUUUUGCCUAUAAUCUUCCCUAGCCAUAGCACACUGUCAAAACCAGGCCAUUGAUAUUGGACAACCCUAUUAGCUCAACUGAAG
RNAcentral lists this long non-coding RNA (1435 nucleotides) under Macaca mulatta (Rhesus monkey). Its description in RNAcentral is "lncRNA (ENSMMUG00000065327.1)". Lineage: Eukaryota; Metazoa; Chordata; Mammalia; Primates; Cercopithecidae. The record is from RNAcentral.